UACGGGGGGGGCAAGCGUUGUUCGGAAUUACUGGGCGUAAAGGGCUCGUAGGUGGCCAACUAAGUCAGACGUGAAAUCCCUCGGCUUAACCGGGGAACUGCGUUUGAUACUGGAUGGCUUGAGUUUGGGAGAGGGAUGCGGAAUUCCAGGUGUAGCGGUGAAAUGCGUAGAUAUCUGGAGGAACACCGGUGGCGAAGGCGGCAUCCUGGACCAAUACUGACGCUGAGGAGCGAAAGCCAGGGGAGCAAACGGG
Molecule: ribosomal RNA, 253 nt
Filed under: uncultured bacterium
Lineage: Bacteria
Description: partial 16S ribosomal RNA
Rfam family: Bacterial small subunit ribosomal RNA
Source: RNAcentral